GGGCCCGCACAAGCAGCGGAGCAUGUGGUUUAAUUCGAAGCAACGCGAAGAACCUUACCCAGACUUGACAUCUCCUGAAUUAAUCGUAAUGGAUGAAAUCCCUUCGGGGACAGGAAGACAGGUGGUGCAUGGUUGUCGUCAGCUCGUGUCGUGAGAUGUUGGGUUAAGUCCCGCAACGAGCGCAACCCUUAUCAUUAGUUGCUAACAUUAAGUUGAGCACUCUAGUGAGACUGCCCGGGUUAACCGGGAGGAAGGUGGGGAUGACGUCAAAUCAUCAUGCCCCUUAUGUCUGGGGCUACACACGUGCUACAAUGGUGGGAACAAAGAGAUGCAAGACCGCAAGGUGGAGCCAAACUCAAAAACCCAUCCCAGUUCGGAUUGUAGGCUGAAACUCGCCUACAUGAAGCUGGAGUUGCUAGUAAUCGCGAAUCAGAAUGUCGCGGUGAAUACGUUCCCGGGCCUUGUACACACCGCCCGUCACACCAUGAGAGUCGGCAACACCCGAAGCCCGUGAGGUAACCUUUUGGAACCAGCGGUCGAAGGUGGGGUUGAUAAUUGGGGUGAAGUCGUAACAAGGUAGCCGUAGGAGAACCUGCGGCUGGAUCAC
Molecule: ribosomal RNA, 607 nt
Filed under: uncultured bacterium
Lineage: Bacteria
Description: bacterial SSU rRNA
Rfam family: Bacterial small subunit ribosomal RNA
Source: RNAcentral